Molecule: ribosomal RNA, 319 nt
Filed under: uncultured eukaryote
Lineage: Eukaryota
Description: partial 18S ribosomal RNA
Rfam family: Eukaryotic small subunit ribosomal RNA
Source: RNAcentral
CCCUUAGAUGUUCUGGGCCGCACGCGCGCUACAAUGGUCUUCGCAAACGGAUGCAUUCUCGAAGGAGAAUGCCAAUCUUGGAAUCUAUGCCUUGGUCGGGACAGUUGCUUGCAAUUUUUCGACUCGAACCAGGAAUUCCUUGUAAUCGUGAUUCAUCACAUCACGAUGAAUACGUCCCUGCCCUUUGUACACACCGCCCGUCGCUCCUACCGAUCGAAGAGUUAGGUGAAUUGUUUUGAUCGAUAAGAUUUGACUAUGGUCAACUCUCGUUGUGAAAUUCUGUGAAUCUGACUGUUUAGAGGAAGGAGAAGUCGUAACA